Molecule: ribosomal RNA, 439 nt
Filed under: uncultured bacterium
Lineage: Bacteria
Description: partial 16S ribosomal RNA
Rfam family: Bacterial small subunit ribosomal RNA
Source: RNAcentral
CUACAGGCCGCUGCAGUGAGGAAUAUUGCACAAUGGGGGGAACCCUGAUGCAGCAACGCCGCGUGGAGGAUGACGCAUUUCGGUGUGUAAACUCCUUUUAUAUGUCAAGAAAAUGACGGUAACAUAUGAAUAAGCACCGGCUAACUCCGUGCCAGCAGCCGCGGUAAUACGGAGGGUGCAAGCGUUACUCGGAAUCACUGGGCGUAAAGGACGCGUAGGCGGGUUGGAAAGUCAGGUGUGAAAUCCUACAGCUUAACUGUAGAACUGCACUUGAAACUUCUAAUCUAGAGUAUGGGAGGGGGAGAUGGAAUUAGUGGUGUAGGGGUAAAAUCCGUAGAUAUCACUAGGAAUACCUAAAGCGAAGGCGAUCUCCUGGAACAUUACUGACGCUAAGGCGUGAAAGCGUGGGGAGCAAAUAGGAUUAGAUACCCCCGUAGUC